GGAGUUCGUCUAGGAUCAGGCGAAAAACUUGACGAUAUACUUAGUUCAAUGAAUCAGGUAGCUGAAGGUGUUGCAACAGCUGGAGCUGUGAUUGCUUUAGCACAGAAGUACAAGGUCAAAAUGCCAGUUUUAACUGCAGUUGCAAGGAUUAUUGACAAUGAAUUAACACCCACAAAAGCUGUUUUUGAAUUGAUGAACCUCCCUCAGGUUGAAGAAGUUUAAAGAAGCAGUGGUGUUAGAAAGACUAAUAGUUGCUGGAUGACAGCUGAACAUGUAUAUACAAAUUGUGACUGGCUGGCUUAGUUUGCUGCUUGAGGCUCACAAUCAACAAGUUGGAUAAUGAUGGUCACCUGUUUACAGGGCUGCACAGUGCUGACAAUCUCCAAGUUUAUGGCGAUGGAAUCUGUCUGAGUUCCUUUUUACCAUGUUAUUAGUUACACUUGCCCAAAUAUGCCUAUGAUAAUU
Molecule: unclassified non-coding RNA, 465 nt
Filed under: Hevea brasiliensis (rubber tree)
Lineage: Eukaryota; Viridiplantae; Streptophyta; Magnoliopsida; Malpighiales; Euphorbiaceae
Source: RNAcentral